Molecule: ribosomal RNA, 561 nt
Filed under: bacterium DR2A-7G5
Lineage: Bacteria
Description: bacterial SSU rRNA
Rfam family: Bacterial small subunit ribosomal RNA
Source: RNAcentral
GACACGGCCCAGACUCCUACGGGAGGCAGCAGUGGGGAAUUUUGGACAAUGGGGGAAACCCUGAUCCAGCCAUCCCGCGUGUGCGAUGAAGGCCUUCGGGUUGUAAAGCACUUUUGGCAGGAAAGAAACGUUCCGGGUUAAUACCCCGGGAAACUGACGGUACCUGCAGAAUAAGCACCGGCUAACUACGUGCCAGCAGCCGCGGUAAUACGUAGGGUGCAAGCGUUAAUCGGAAUUACUGGGCGUAAAGCGUGCGCAGGCGGUUCGGAAAGAAAGAUGUGAAAUCCCAGAGCUUAACUUUGGAACUGCAUUUUUAACUACCGAGCUAGAGUGUGUCAGAGGGAGGUGGAAUUCCGCGUGUAGCAGUGAAAUGCGUAGAUAUGCGGAGGAACACCGAUGGCGAAGGCAGCCUCCUGGGAUAACACUGACGCUCAUGCACGAAAGCGUGGGGAGCAAACAGGAUUAGAUACCCUGGUAGUCCACGCCCUAAACGAUGUCAACUAGCUGUUGGGGCCUUCGGGCCUUGGUAGCGCAGCUAACGUGAAGUUGACCGCCUGGGGA